GACGAACGCUGGCGGCGUGCUUAACACAUGCAAGUCGAACGGCAAGGCGCUGCUUUUGUUGGGGGCUCGAGUGGCGAACGGGCGAGUAACACGUGAGUAACCUGCCUUUGACUUUGGGAUAACUUCAGGAAACUGGGGCUAAUACAGGAUAGGUGCUCCUGCUGCAUGGUGGGGGUUGGUAAGUUUCGGCGGUUGGGGAUGGACUCGCGGCUUAUCAGCUUGUUGGUGGGGUAGUGGCUUACCAAGGCUUUGACGGGUAGCCGGCCUGAGAGGGUGACCGGCCACAUGGGGACUGAGAUACGGCACAGAGUCCUACGGGAGGCAGCAGUGGGGAAUAUUGCACAAUGGGGGGAAGCCGGAUGCAGCAACGCCGCGUGCGGGAUGAUGGCCUUCGGGUUGUAAACCGCUUUCGCCUGUGACGAAGCGUGAGUGACGGUAAUGGGUAAAGAAGCACCGGCUAACUACGUG
This 468-nucleotide ribosomal RNA is filed under the name uncultured bacterium. RNAcentral describes it as "partial 16S ribosomal RNA". It matches the Rfam family "Bacterial small subunit ribosomal RNA", at positions 28 to 507 of the family's 1533-position model. The record is from RNAcentral.